RNAcentral lists this non-coding RNA (46 nucleotides) under unclassified sequences. Its description in RNAcentral is "L31-Actinobacteria ribosomal protein leader". It matches the Rfam family "L31-Actinobacteria ribosomal protein leader". The record is from RNAcentral.
CCGGUUCCGGUUCACCCCGCGCACAUCACCACGGGGACCCGGCGCC